UCCGUUGUAGUCUAGCUGGUCAGGUUACUCGGCUCUCACCCGAAAGACCCGGGUUCGAAUAGCGGCGACGGAG
This 73-nucleotide transfer RNA is filed under the name Brassica oleracea var. oleracea. It matches the Rfam family "tRNA". Rfam says of the family: Transfer RNA (tRNA) molecules are approximately 80 nucleotides in length. Their secondary structure includes four short double-helical elements and three loops (D, anti-codon, and T loops). Further hydrogen bonds mediate the characteristic L-shaped molecular structure. tRNAs have two regions of fundamental functional importance: the anti-codon, which is responsible for specific mRNA codon recognition, and the 3' end, to which the tRNAs corresponding amino acid is attached (by aminoacyl-tRNA synthetases). tRNAs cope with the degeneracy of the genetic code in two manners: having more than one tRNA (with a specific anti-codon) for a particular amino acid; and 'wobble' base-pairing, i.e. permitting non-standard base-pairing at the 3rd anti-codon position. The record is from Rfam by way of RNAcentral. Lineage: Eukaryota; Viridiplantae; Streptophyta; Magnoliopsida; Brassicales; Brassicaceae.